This 1436-nucleotide ribosomal RNA is filed under the name Vibrio sp. PaD3.02b. RNAcentral's name for it is "bacterial SSU rRNA". It matches the Rfam family "Bacterial small subunit ribosomal RNA". Lineage: Bacteria; Pseudomonadati; Pseudomonadota; Gammaproteobacteria; Vibrionales; Vibrionaceae. The record is from RNAcentral.
GGCGGCAGGCCUAACACAUGCAAGUCGAGCGGAAACGAGUUAUCUGAACCUUCGGGGAACGAUAACGGCGUCGAGCGGCGGACGGGUGAGUAAUGCCUAGGAAAUUGCCCUGAUGUGGGGGAUAACCAUUGGAAACGAUGGCUAAUACCGCAUAAUGCCUACGGGCCAAAGAGGGGGACCUUCGGGCCUCUCGCGUCAGGAUAUGCCUAGGUGGGAUUAGCUAGUUGGUGAGGUAAUGGCUCACCAAGGCGACGAUCCCUAGCUGGUCUGAGAGGAUGAUCAGCCACACUGGAACUGAGACACGGUCCAGACUCCUACGGGAGGCAGCAGUGGGGAAUAUUGCACAAUGGGCGCAAGCCUGAUGCAGCCAUGCCGCGUGUGUGAAGAAGGCCUUCGGGUUGUAAAGCACUUUCAGUCGUGAGGAAGGUGGUGUUGUUAAUAGCUGUAUUAUUUGACGUUAGCGACAGAAGAAGCACCGGCUAACUCCGUGCCAGCAGCCGCGGUAAUACGGAGGGUGCGAGCGUUAAUCGGAAUUACUGGGCGUAAAGCGCAUGCAGGUGGUUUGUUAAGUCAGAUGUGAAAGCCCGGGGCUCAACCUCGGAAUAGCAUUUGAAACUGGCAGACUAGAGUACUGUAGAGGGGGGUAGAAUUUCAGGUGUAGCGGUGAAAUGCGUAGAGAUCUGAAGGAAUACCGGUGGCGAAGGCGGCCCCCUGGACAGAUACUGACACUCAGAUGCGAAAGCGUGGGGAGCAAACAGGAUUAGAUACCCUGGUAGUCCACGCCGUAAACGAUGUCUACUUGGAGGUUGUGGCCUUGAGCCGUGGCUUUCGGAGCUAACGCGUUAAGUAGACCGCCUGGGGAGUACGGUCGCAAGAUUAAAACUCAAAUGAAUUGACGGGGGCCCGCACAAGCGGUGGAGCAUGUGGUUUAAUUCGAUGCAACGCGAAGAACCUUACCUACUCUUGACAUCCAGAGAACUUUCCAGAGAUGGAUUGGUGCCUUCGGGAACUCUGAGACAGGUGCUGCAUGGCUGUCGUCAGCUCGUGUUGUGAAAUGUUGGGUUAAGUCCCGCAACGAGCGCAACCCUUAUCCUUGUUUGCCAGCGAGUAAUGUCGGGAACUCCAGGGAGACUGCCGGUGAUAAACCGGAGGAAGGUGGGGACGACGUCAAGUCAUCAUGGCCCUUACGAGUAGGGCUACACACGUGCUACAAUGGCGCAUACAGAGGGCAGCAAGCUAGCGAUAGUGAGCGAAUCCCAAAAAGUGCGUCGUAGUCCGGAUUGGAGUCUGCAACUCGACUCCAUGAAGUCGGAAUCGCUAGUAAUCGUGGAUCAGAAUGCCACGGUGAAUACGUUCCCGGGCCUUGUACACACCGCCCGUCACACCAUGGGAGUGGGCUGCAAAAGAAGUAGGUAGUUUAACCUUCGGGAGGACGC